Long non-coding RNA from Capra hircus (goat), 1661 nucleotides. RefSeq lists it as uncharacterized. The record is from RefSeq and is a predicted model, not a curated record. Lineage: Eukaryota; Metazoa; Chordata; Mammalia; Artiodactyla; Bovidae. The transcript has 4 exons.
UCUCUGGGUUUUGAGGAUCAGCUGUACCCCAGGCACUUUACAGAUGUCAUUGAUAACGUCUGCAUUAUUCCAGGUUUUACAGAUUAGGAGAUGGAGCCUCAGAGAAGUUCUAAGAAGUGACAGAGCCCAGACUGGAACCCCAAACCAUGGGACCCCCAAAUCUCGGCUUUGCCCACCUUUCUUUCUCCGGGCCCACAGGGAGCUGUGGGAGUCUUUUCAGGGAACAACGUCUUCAGGUGCACGUUUCAGAUGGAUCUCUGCUGCCCACCGCGUGGGGUGCAGUCAGUCUGGAGCCGGGGGACCAGGAGCGUGCUCAGAUCUCUGCACAGAGACGACGGAGGCCGGGACCAAGCUGUUCUGGUGGGGAGGAAAGAGGACCAGCGCGGCUGCCUGGGCCUCGGUCUCGCUCUCCUGGGGUGGAGACAGCACCCUCUGCUGAGACGGUGAGAAGCCAGCGCUCCGGAGGCUGCUGAGCGCUUGAGCAGCCACCUGUGCAGGCGGGGCUGAUGUGGCCUGACCACAGCACCCCACCAGGCCUGGACCCUGCCCAGCCCAACCGCCCACGUGGUGUCAUUAGCUCUGCUGACGCUGCGACGUGGAGCCACGGAUGUCCCAGAGCCCAGGAGAGGGCAGGGAAGGAAUGAAUAAGGAAGGAAAGCCUUGGAUCUUGGCGCACCCAGCUGGAGGAUGGAGGGGCUGGCCUGAUGGUCUCCAGGAGCCGUUCCAGCUUGACAGCGAGGAUUCUGGAGGGCAGAGGGGCUCUCCCCGUGGGGCUCAGGAGAGCGGGCUUUGGAGAAGGCCACGGGGCGGGGGUCUAGGAGCUGAGCUCUGCGCACUCCUCAGCCCUCCCGCCCUCUAAGGCUGGCCCUGUAAGCUCGGGCACACACUCUGUGUGUGUGCAUGUUGAGGGGCACCCCACCAGAGAGGGAGAGCCCGCAGCUGGAGUCAGCAACCAUGGCAACCGUCCAGAACCCACUCUGACUGGCCACAAGGUCUGAGACUGGCGGGUUCCACGCCCUGGAGGUGCCAAGACUCACCUGGGCCCAGUUGACGUUCAUCCCUAUUGCUUCACACUUGGAAGCUCCACACCUGUUAUCUACCCGACCCCUGAAGGCUUUUGAGUUUGGGAACUCAGAGCUGAACAACUCUACUUUGUAAACAGGGAGAUUGUGCAGGCAGAAUGGAACCCUGGGCUAUCUGAGGUCGGAAGAGUCCUUGAGAUCCCCAAGGUCUCAUUUUCAGAUUUCUGCUCCAGUGCCAUUUCCUCGGAGUGGCCUUCCCUGAUCACACUGCUCCCAGCGGCACCCGUCCGCUCUGCCUGGGGCCCUCUGCUGUGCGUUCUCGCCUCCUCCCGACACCCCAGCCUCCGGCCCCCCGUUUACUCCUGCAGCUGCUCUCUGUGCCCUGAGGACCGGGGCUCGGCCGGUCUUUCUCACUGAUGAGUAAUGCCUGGCACAUGUCAAGCCCCUCAAAACUGUCGAAGAGCAGGGAAAAUGAGGUCCUGGGUGUGAGCUCCGCCCCCAGACCUCUUCCCUGCCUCAGCUUCCCUGGGCUGUUCCGGGGACAUCCUGGAGCCGUGCUGUUGUUCCCAGGUCGCCCAGCGGUCCCCAGGCCUCCUCCCCUGCUGGGCGUCGUGUGUGAGGCGAGCCCAGCUGUGUCCU